CCUACGGGAGGCAGCAGUGGGGAAUUUUGGACAAUGGGGGGCAACCCUGAUCCAGCAAUGCCGCGUGAGUGAAGAAGGCCCUCGGGUUGUAAAGCUCUUUUGUCAGGGAAGAAACGGUGGUUCCUAAUACGAGCUGCUAAUGACGGUACCUGAAGAAUAAGCACCGGCUAACUACGUGCCAGCAGCCGCGGUAAUACGUAGGGUGCAAGCGUUAAUCGGAAUUACUGGGCGUAAAGCGUGCGCAGGCGGUUAUAUAAGACAGAGGUGAAAUCCCCGGGCUCAACCUGGGAACUGCCUUUGUGACUGUAUGGCUAGAGUGUGUCAGAGGGGGGUAGAAUUCCACGUGUAGCAGUGAAAUGCGUAGAUAUGUGGAGGAAUACCGAUGGCGAAGGCAGCCCCCUGGGAUAACACUGACGCUCAUGCACGAAAGCGUGGGGAGCAAACAGGAUUAGAUACCCUGGUAGUCCACGCCCUAAACGAUGUCUACUAGUUGUCGGGACUUAAUUGUCUUGGUAACGCAGCUAACGCGUGAAGUAGACCGCCUGGGGAGUACGGUCGCAAGAUUAAAAACUUAAAUGAAAUUGACGG
Molecule: ribosomal RNA, 588 nt
Filed under: uncultured bacterium
Lineage: Bacteria
Description: bacterial SSU rRNA
Rfam family: Bacterial small subunit ribosomal RNA
Source: RNAcentral